RNAcentral lists this unclassified non-coding RNA (583 nucleotides) under Hevea brasiliensis (rubber tree). Lineage: Eukaryota; Viridiplantae; Streptophyta; Magnoliopsida; Malpighiales; Euphorbiaceae. The record is from RNAcentral.
GUUGAGUUGAGUUGAGUUAGAUUAGACUCAUUAUGAAUUUAGACUUCAGUUAAUUAUGGUUUAUUUUAUCAUCGGACGUAUUAGUAUGCCUACAUUACAUGUUUAUUUUUACCAGAGCACACUGCACUAGUUUUUUAUUUUUUUCCUGAUACACUUUUCUGGUUAUUCCGAGAUGCUGGUAACUAUCCUCUAAUUUGUAUUUCUGUUCUUCCCUAUAUUAAUAAAAUCUUCUUCUUUUGUUUAGAGAAAUUGCAUAACCAACUCACCAACUAUAAGACCAGAAUAUGUUAAAAUUUUAAAGCUUAAAAACAACAAAUAUGAAUAGAAAUAAAAGAAAGGAGGUUGCAGGAUUGAAACCCAGACCACCUAUAUUGCAAGGCAAGCACUCGACCAUAGGCUACUAACCAAAUGCACCAGGUCACACUAUGAUAUUUCACUUGUUUGCACUUUUUAUCGUCAAUUUCACAAUUACAUGUGAAAUGAAAAAUCUUCCUUCAUCUUUAAAAUACACCAUUUACGUCCCCUCACUCCCCACCCCCCCAACAAAAAUACACACACAAAAAUAGAAUAAAGUAAAAUAAAA